AACGAACGCUGGCGGCAUGCCUAACACAUGCAAGUCGAACGAGACCUUCGGGUAUAGUGGCGCACGGGUGCGUAACGCGUGGGAACCUGCCCUUAGGUUCGGAAUAACUCCCCGAAAGGGGUGCUUAUACCGGAUAAUGUCUUCGGACCAAAGAUUUAUCGCCUUUGGAUGGGCCCGCGUUGGAUUAGCUAGUUGGUAGGGUAAAAGCCUACCAAGGCGACGAUCCAUAGCUGGUCUGAGAGGAUGAUCAGCCACACUGGGACUGAGACACGGCCCAGACUCCUACGGGAGGCAGCAGUGGGGAAUAUUGGACAAUGGGCGAAAGCCUGAUCCAGCAAUGCCGCGUGAGUGAUGAAGGCCUUAGGGUUGUAAAGCUCUUUUACCCGGGAUGAUAAUGACAGUACCGGGAGAAUAAGCUCCGGCUAACUCCGUG
RNAcentral lists this ribosomal RNA (433 nucleotides) under uncultured bacterium. RNAcentral describes it as "partial 16S ribosomal RNA". It matches the Rfam family "Bacterial small subunit ribosomal RNA", at positions 29 to 507 of the family's 1533-position model. The record is from RNAcentral.